GAUGAACGCUGGCGGCGUGCUUAACACAUGCAAGUCGAACGAUGAACCUCACUUGUGGGGGGAUUAGUGGCGAACGGGUGAGUAACACGUGAGUAACCUGCCCUUGACUCUGGGAUAAGCCUGGGAAACCGGGUCUAAUACUGGAUACGACCUUCUGGCGCAUGCCAUGUUGGUGGAAAGCUUUUGUGGUUUUGGAUGGACUCGCGGCCUAUCAGCUUGUUGGUGGGGUAAUGGCCUACCAAGGCGACGACGGGGAGCCGGCCUGAGAGGGUGACCGGCCACACUGGGACUGAGACGCGGCCCAGACUCCUACGGGAGGCAGCAGUGGGGAAUAUUGCACAAUGGGCGCAAGCCUGAUGCAGCGACGCCGCGUGAGGGAUGGAGGCCUUCGGGUUGUAACCCUCUUUCAGUAGGGAAGAAGCCGGCUUUUGGGUUGGUGACGGUACCUGCAGAAGAAGCGCCGGCUAACUACGUG
This 475-nucleotide ribosomal RNA is filed under the name uncultured bacterium. Its description in RNAcentral is "partial 16S ribosomal RNA". It matches the Rfam family "Bacterial small subunit ribosomal RNA", at positions 28 to 507 of the family's 1533-position model. The record is from RNAcentral.